This 518-nucleotide long non-coding RNA is filed under the name Bos taurus (domestic cattle). RNAcentral's name for it is "long non-coding RNA NONBTAT006758". Lineage: Eukaryota; Metazoa; Chordata; Mammalia; Artiodactyla; Bovidae. The record is from RNAcentral.
CUCAUUCUCAUUCUUUUUAUUCAUUAUUUAAAAUCAAAUAACAUACUUCAAAAACUAUGCCAUAUUUUUCUUCCAUUGGCUGUCAUUCUGAAAAAAUUGCAAGAGAAAUUGUAGCAAAACAUGUUUGUUCCUCCAUGGAAUAUAUAAACUAUAAAUAUACGGAUCCCACAUUAAAUAGGAUUAACUCAACAUAAUAAUCAUUAAUUAAUAGUCACUGAAUGUCACAUAGAUAAUGUUUUAGGCACUAUUAAAAAAAAUGAUGAAAAAUUUACCCAGAGACAUAACAAGGAAUACCAGGAAGCAGAGAUGGUUGUUUAUCAGCUGUGGAAUAUCCAAAAGUAGGUUCUGAUUGGGAAUCCAUUCUAUUUUAAAAUACUAAAAAUCUAACUUUAAAGCCUUCAUAGACUUUAUUUUUUCUUAAUGAUUUCCUUUGCAUUUCCAGCUGAAUCUCUUCAGGCAGUUACUGGGGAACAAAUGAAUUAGCUUAUCAAACAGGUCUUUAGUCUUUUGAAUGUUUC